Anguilla rostrata (American eel) is the source of this 627-nucleotide long non-coding RNA. RefSeq lists it as uncharacterized. The record is from RefSeq and is a predicted model, not a curated record. Lineage: Eukaryota; Metazoa; Chordata; Actinopteri; Anguilliformes; Anguillidae. The transcript has 5 exons.
UUCGCUCAGUGACCGCGGAGAGCAGCUCUGAGCAGGACCCUCCCUCCCGAAAAAGCCUCGCAGUCCCCCCCCAGAGCCCCGCGCCAUGAAGACCGCCGGACUACCUUCUCUUCUUCUCCUCCUCUCUCUCCUGCUGAUCAGGACAGAAUCAAAUACAACAGAACUGCCGCCAAGUAUAGUUCCAGGACCAGAUGGACAAUCAGCCCCAACAACAACUCCAACAACUCCAAAUAAUAAAACAACAGACACAGAUUCAAAUGCAACUUCAAGUGUAACCCAAACAGGAUCAACACUAAAUCCGAAAGAAGACUCUCCAAAUUCAAAUGCAACUUCAAGUGUAACCCAAACAGGACCAACACUAAAACCUGAAGACUCUACAAAAACAAAGCCAACUGAUGCAGCCACAGUCACCUCAGCACCGGGCAGUACCCUAGAAACAGGUAGGAGGGGACCACAUUUCAGGCUAUUUCCAUUGCAGUUCAUCCCUCCUUCUGCUUCAAGGGUCAAAGGAGGUCACCAUCAUGCUUAAGGUUGCCAGACAGCCAUAGUUGACAACCCCAAAAUGUAGCUGAGUAGAUAAACAAUCAUGUGGGGAAGUUUCAGGGUAAAAAUAUACAGGUGUCAGUG